AACUCUUCAAAUCUGUUAAUUUUUUAACAACUAAAAAUUAUUUAUUAAUUAUAUCGUAACCAAAUUACAUAAAUACAUAUACAAUAAUAAAAAAUAACAAAUAAAAUAAAAUGAGAAAACAACAAAUCUGUUAACUAUAAUAACACAAAAUACUGCUUUGAUUCCCUUUUUAUUUGGUAAAAGAAGUUUUUCAUUAAAAUUUUGUAAAGUUGACAGUGAAAAAUUUGGUACUCUACUUUUUAGCACCUAGCUUUAGUUUCUUCUUUUCUCUGUCAAAACAAAA
RNAcentral lists this long non-coding RNA (283 nucleotides) under Brassica rapa (field mustard). Its description in RNAcentral is "long non-coding RNA (BRAP_LNC002293)". The record is from RNAcentral. Lineage: Eukaryota; Viridiplantae; Streptophyta; Magnoliopsida; Brassicales; Brassicaceae.